Non-coding RNA from Taeniopygia guttata (zebra finch), 7340 nucleotides. The record is from RefSeq and is a predicted model, not a curated record. NCBI's taxonomy places the organism in Eukaryota, Metazoa, Chordata, Aves, Passeriformes, Estrildidae.
GGGAGCAGGCUAGUUCUGGACUGGAAGAAGCUAUUGGAUGAGAGAUCCCCAGCUCUGCAUGAUGCUGUUAGGUUCCUGCAGUGGGAUCAUCAAUUUUUGACCAUCUUUAAGAUCAUGCCAGUCUGCUUUCCAGGUUAAAAGGUCCUACUUUUCUGUACUCCUUCCUGGCACUUCCUUCAAUGUGAUGGGUUUCCCAGGAAGAAAAUUCCUGCAAAAGAAGUCCUGGUGUUUUAUCUGACAGAUCUUCCUGUUGCUUGGAAAUCUACAGGAGUCCUGAGUGCAGUGACAUAAAACUACUUCUUCUUCAACAAAGGUGUUCUACAGUUGUGGAAAAGUGAAAGGAAUGGCUCAAUGGGUGGCUUCCACGGGGGUGUUAGUGUGGGCUUUCAUCCAGCAGCCAUAUGCUCACAAAGCCAACAGCUCCCUCUUUCCCUCGUGGAAGCAGUCACAGAGCAGAUCAGCCGAGUGUGAAACUUCUCAGCAGCUGAGUUUCUGAAGCUCAGGCAACCCUUUGUCUCCCAGAGGCUCUGGGAGUAGCUGUGUGUGGAUGAGUGUCUGCAGAGCACAGGAGUGACGGGAAGGGCCCCACUGAGGCACCAAGCAGGAGAGGAGACCUUGCUAAAUGGCCCAGCCCCACCACUCGUGUGCGUCAUGUGCACCCAGCCCUGGCAGCCAUGCCGGGAGCAGGGGGCAGACCCAUAUCCAUGGCUUUCAGUUCCAUCACCUUCAACUGGUUUAUUCUAAGAAAGUCUGCCUAGGAUUCAUCCACCCAAAGUGUCACACUUCACAGCUUCCUUCCCACACAGAGCUUGGUUCCUUGCUCUGAAUAAACAUCACUUCCCUGCCUGCAUCCCCACAGCCAGGCUGCUGCCUGCCUCCCCCUGUCCCCUAGAGAGGUGUGGCAUGUCUAAUUCAUACUUGAGAGCUGCAUCCUGCUGCCCACCACGUGCAGGAAAAAGAAUAGAGAUAAAAACUACACCAGCCUCAUUGGUUUCCAAUUCUAGUCAGGGCAGGCAGAGGCCUGGUACUCACAGAUGGCAACACCAAGACGUUCUGUGCUCAGGGAUCUGAUCCCAGACAGGUUCCAAUCCACUUCCCAGUGAGCAAAUGCCAGUUUUUAGGGCAGCAGAUGGUUUGUGGCUCCUGAAGAGUUCCCUUUCUUGGCACAGAAAUGGCUGGGACUGCUCAAAAGCUCCUGAGUGAUGCCCAGAGGAUGGUUCCAGACUCUUUUUGGUGGUGUCCCGCACCAGGAAAAGGAGCAAUGGCCAUAAACUAAAACACAAGUUCCACCUCAACAUGAGGAAGAACUUCUUUCCAUGGUGGCUAGCAGAGCCCUGGAACAGCUGCCCAAGGAGGCUGUGGAGUGUCUCUGGAGACAUUCCGAACCCACCCGGACAAGUUCCUGUGUCACCUGCUCCAGGUGACCCUGCCUGGGCAAGGGGUUGGUCUGGGAGGUCCCUUUCAGCCCCAAUGAUUCUGUGAUUCUGUGAUGUGGGUUUUGUCCCAGAUGAUAUGCAUUUUGUCCAGUUCAUCCUACAACAGAAACAACUAAUUUGUGUGAAAGCUCCCUGUUAGCUCCAUGACAACGACGGUGUAAGAGACUCAGAGAACCUCCUGAGGCAUCUCAGACAUCACCACAGCCAGAACCUAAAGGCAGGUUCAGAAUCCUGCUUUUAGGAAUCAGGGUAAUGAAGAAACUGUACUGACCCUGAACACAGAACACCAUCCACCUCUGGAAAGACACUUGAGUAAGUGUCUUUAGAGUAAGCAAAGACUUUGUGACAGUGGUUCAUCUGUGACAUACGCAGAACAAGUUUUUCAUUAAAGAGAUCAAGAACUAUUUCUAUGAGGACUGAUAGGAUGUGAAAAUCCAGGGAAAAACAAAGAGAGAUUUGGCCACAUGGGGAAUGUAUUUGUGGAGAGCCCAGGAAGCCCAGAUACAGGGGAUGACAGACUGAGAUGGAUGAAAGGACUUAAGCUACACCAGGGAAAAUUCAGUGAAAUACAACCAUUUGGCUUGGCCACAGCUUUCUCCCUUUCCUCAUGGGGCUGGCUGAAGGAAACAGAGAUGCAUCUACUGGUGGUCAUGGAAGUGGUGGAGAGGAGGAAGAGGAAUGGAAGACAUUCAUGUGGACACCAACCUGACCAUCACAUACAUAGAAAAGUCUUCAACUGAUGACAGCACCUUGUUAUCUUUAACUUUCCCAGUUAUCUCCCAGGUGGGAAGGGGAAGAGAAGCUCAAGAGGACUUUAGCCAACAUAUUCCCCAUCUGCUGCUGGUGGAGCAGCAGUGUCCUGGCUGCAGCUCAACCACCGCAGGUUUGUUUCCUGCCAAAGGGUCACUGGGGAAGUGGAGUCAAACCUGUGUCACUGAUCAGCAACAGGAAACAUUACAACUCAGCUGCUUCCACUGACAGUCCUUCUGACCUUCCCGAAAGAUAACGACCAAAGUGUCACUCCAUCCCAGUGCACACUGUUCUGUGGAAUGGAAAAACACCAGUAAAAAGAUCUCUGUGAUGAACAGAUUGUGCUCUUCCCAACAGACCUUCUGUGCCACACUGACUGUGUUCCUCCUGACAGUCUCCUCCAUGCUGAACUGACCCUGUUCCUCCAACAGCCCCGUGUGCCACAGUGACUGUUGCUCCCGAUAGUUCCCUGCCAGGAUCAGAACCCAUGCCGACAGCUGUUUGACAUCCCCCUCCCAGCCACUAAUUCCUCCUGGCAGUGUUUGCCUUGCCUGCCCACCCCCACAGCUCUGCUGGGAGAGAGGAUGUGUUCCCAGCUCCCAGCUCCCUCUCAUUAUUAAAGCUGUCAGUUGUUAAUUAUAGUGCUGCAUUUCAACUUGAUACUUCCCAGGGGGCCAAACCAUGCCAAAAGACCAAAAUUACUUCCCAGUGGAAUAUUUUUGGAGACUCUGCUAGACAUGAGCCUGUGCCUCUAUCAACUAGGGUGAGACAUUACUGACUGCUCUCAGGAGAUUGGAACUGCACUUGCUCUAAGACCCACACCUGCUCUUGUUACCCUUCAGAGCCAACAUUCCCACUCCCUAGAUGGGAGUCAUGGCUUUCUUAAGGAUAUGAAUAUAAGGAUAUAUUGCUUUUAAUGAUAUAAAACUAUUAAAAAGUGUCCAAAGGGGGACUAUGAACAUGUGGAAGGGUCUGGAGGGGCCACACAAGGAGCAGCUGAAGAGGAGACUGAGGGGAGACUCACUGGGGUCUGCAGCUCCUCCUGAGGGGCAGCUCUGAUCUCUGCUCGCUGUGACAGGGACAGGACCCAGGGAAUGUCUGGAGCUGUGCCAGGGUAAUUGGGAUGGAGCUCAGGGAAAGGUUCUUCUCCCAGAGGUGCUGGCACUGCCCAGGCUCCCCAGGGAAUGGGCACAGCCCCGAGGCUGCCAGAGCUCCAGGAGGGUUUGGACAGCGCUGCCAGGGAUGCCCAGGGUGGGAUUGUUGGGGGGUCUGGGCAGGGCCAGGGGUGGGACCCGAUGAUUCUGUGUGUUGCUUCCAGCUUAGGAUAUUCUGGGAUUCUCUGAAUCACACAACCAUGACCACCAGGCCUAUGAGACCCUCACAUUCCUCUCAGUGAGGAAUGCAGUUCUGUGAAGUUCCAAGCAAGUAGUCAGGUCACGUGAGAGCAAACACCUAAGACACAGAUGUGAUGCUGGUAUUCUUUAGCUUGUAGCAACAUUACCCAGCCAAGUUGCCCCUUUGCCUCAUGUGCCCAUAGAAACCUCUGCUUCAAAUACAGAAACAAGUGAACAAGUGCAGUGAUCAAACCAUCAAGGGCAAGAGCAUGUGGGGAAAAAGGCGUAGACUGUAUUACUGGGAAAGUUUUGAGGAUCUUGACAGAAAAGCACCAUCUCCUUUGACUGUGUUAAGUGAGACAUUGCUUUGCAGAGAUUCUUUUCCAGGAGAAUCAGAUGUGAUGGGUCAGAUGUGCCAGAGGAAACUUAUGGGCUGGAUGAAGAGUGAUGCAGAAAGUACCUGCUGCUGGCACCACCUACCCAUUGUGGUCACUCAAGGCCAGCUGAGCACCACAAAACACAGCUCAGCCCAGGGACAACAGCCAGGAGAGUCCAGCUGCAUCUCUGCUUCUCAUCCUUCUCAUCUGGCUGAAAGCAUUUUACUCAACAUUUACAGAGAAAUCACUAUAAGAGAGUUUACAGCAUGCUUAACAGGAUGUAACUCAUCCUAAAACCAACAAAAAGCUGAAAAGAAGUAAUAAAUGAAAAUAAUUAAAAUAGAAACAUGAAAAUUGUAUUGCAUUGAGCUGUUAAGAACAGCCUUUGCAUCAGAAGAUUCAGGGUGGCUGUUCGGCUCCUCAGUGCUUUGCCAAAUUUGCACCUCAGUAAUUAUAAUUUCAUCUUGAAUACAUAUAGUUUUAAUUGUGACCGCUUUUCCUGCUCUGCACUAACUGCAGGAAUCACAAAAGUGCAGCAGGAGGGCUGUGUAUGACUGGCUUCUUUCUCCAGCCACCUCAGUGACCCAUCAAGAUCCUUGCUCUGACCCCCCAAAGUCUGUGCAGUGCAAAAUAAACCCUACAGUGCUGAAAUAAUUACAGCCCCUAAUUACAGACCCAGAGGCACUGUGCAAAGAAACCAAGUACAUUACUACCCAGAACAAUAAAGCUCCAGUAAAGCUGCCUCAGAACAUGAUGCCAUGCACAGAACCACUGUGGCACUUCGUGGUGAUGUCAGCAACUUGAGCUCCAGGUGGUUUCACUUAAAAUCAAUUCUUCUGACAGGCCACUGGUUCUCAGAGAGUUUAAACCCUCAGCAAACCCUCAGAGAAACCCCUUUAAGGUAUCAUCCACUGUCAUCUGAGUUCAAUAAUUUAAUUCUCAUUGCAUGAUAAUCUAAUAUCCAGCCAAAAACCUUGGAACAGCCUGGUCUACCGGAAGGUGUCCUUGCCCAUGUAGGAGGUUGGAACUAGAUGGUUUGUAAGUCCCGACCCAACAAUCUAUGAUUCUAUAAAUUAUGCUGAUAUGCUCACUUUUCUUUCAGUGUAUGUGAACAGUCAUUUACAAAACACCAUUUCCAGGACUGAUAACCCCUGCCCCCUUAACCUUUUCUGACCUACCUGAACACACUUGACCCCGCAGUUCUGUGGAGGGAGUGGUUCAGGCACCUCUCUAAUUUGUCAUCUUUUAAGGCAUAAUACUAAAAAAAAGGCAGUGUCCAUCUGAGAACUCCUCAGCAGUGGGUAAAGUGCAUUAAUUAUCUCCAUCUUGCAUGUGACAGUAAGUGCUGUAUCCUUGGAGGAGGAAGAGCAGAUCAAGUGGUUCAUGGUCCUUUUGAGCUUGAAAGAAAAAAUAUGCAAAAUUACCCAGGAACACUUUAAAUUAAUUGCUGCCUACUGACAACGCUGGCAAAGUAGCCCUUUGCCCAUCAGCAUUCAGACAAUUAGCUCUGUCCACUUGAGAUGGUGGAGCAGCUCUGUAUUUAUUCAUAUUUUGGGUGAGUUCAAAGUGAAUCGCUUCUGUGAUUUAUUGUCUGCACAGAAGAAUCUCUACAUCUCAUUUCUUCAAAGAGUGCAGUCUCCAGCUCAGGGAUCAAAGCACUGCCAAGGAAACAAUCUCCUCUGGGGAGGGUCAGGAAUGAAUUUUCCACUUUGUUGGUACCUUUUGGCAGGAGCUGUCUGUGAUAGAGAACCUGUCCUUAGAAUCAUAAAAUGGUUUGGGCUGGAAAGGAUCUUGAAGAUCAUCCCAUUCCACCCCCUUGCCACCUUCUACUGGACUAAAUUGCUUCAGUGCCUCACCCUGUGGAAUGUCUGUCUAUCGCCACUUAUGCCAGAAUGCUGAAGACACUAUGUGAAUUUUCCUCUGGAGCAUCUCACCUGUGUGCCACCCCUGGCUCAUCCCAUGUGUGUUCAGGACACGUACUACAGCCCUUUGGCCCCCUCAGACCCCCAGCAAGGCGGGCAGUCCCAGCAAGGGGGGCUCUGGUGCAGGAGGAUAGUUUGAGCAAUUCCUGAGAGCACAGAAGGAGCAGUUGUCAUGGAUACCAACAUGCAAUGGGAGGAUCCAGUUCAGCUCUGUUCUGCCUGUCCUCCCUUGGCCUGCCAUGUGGAUCUGUGGACUGUCGGAACUCAAAAUGUCCCUCAGACAUUUUUAGAGGUUCCAGGCCUUGGUCAAAAGCAUUUUAGACCCUGGCAAGCAGCUGAAAACAGCUGUGAUCUUGAGUUUGAACCAUGGAAUGAAUUACCAACUUUGAAGGUGGAACAAGCGGUCACAGAGAGUUAGAUGGUAUAGUAAAAGUAGUCACAAAUUAGAGGGAAAAAUUUUUUAGUAUUGUACAAGGGGGUUUUAGUACCUGUACAGGGGGGUUUUACUUUGUACAUGGGAGUCAGGAGUUCUAAGAUGGAGGAAAGUGGUCCUGAUCCUGUUCUUCCUCCUUCUUCUUCCUUACCUCCAUGUUCUUGGUGAUGUUGGCAUUUUUCUAUUGGUUUAGGCUGGGGACACACUGUUCAACGUAGAUGAUAGAUAUUGGCACAUUAUUGUAAAUCCAGCACAGGUAGUUUCUGGUAUUUAAUGUUUGUACCAUCCCACUGAGGGGCAGAGCCCCACACGCUGCCCUGCAGGACAGAGCUGCGGCAGGGCAGCAGAACAUGUUAGAGAUAAACAGAAUAAACAACCUUGAAAACAGCACAGACGAAUUAUGGCUUCUUCUUUGGCAACGGGGCAGAAAGACAGAGACUUUUUACAAUCUCGGAAUCACCAAUACCCACAGAUUCCGACAGUGGACUACCCAUUCCACAGCAUGGCGGUAAAGAGAACUGAAAAUUAAAAUCUGCAUGGGAGCAAAACCGCAAUAUUUAAGGGCAAAGUCCCCAGCCUUUCCAAUCAGGACAGCUAUUCCCAAAUACACAAAGCCAGGACAUACUUUGGGGUAUACAGUUGCUGAUCGUGGAAAGGAAAAUGAGGGAAGAGCUACAAGCAAGGAAAGCUGUUUGGCAUAUCUGGGAGAAGAUCUAAAUCCUGAACUUAUUGAGAGAUAAACCUUUUCUCAGCUGGAUUCAGGCCUCUGCAGAACAGUAGGCAUCAGGUGGACUUGGCAAUUUCCCUCUGGCUGUGUAAGACUGACUCUGUGAUCUCCACAAAUUUGAGAAAUUUCACCAUGUUUUCAUUUUUUGAGGAAAACCUCUCCCCAGGUAUAUAGCUGACAGGUCUGAUUAUUUUGUGCUGAAAUGUUUUGUGUUUCUCAUUUGAAAUGAGUAUUUCUAUUUAUUCUGCACAUUUUGUCUUUCGUUCUGGCCAAUCAAAUUUUCUCAUUGCCUUUUCCCCACGGAGUUCAUCACAGUGUUCUGGUUGGAUUUUAGGCGUAAAAUAAAUUCUGAACCAAACUA